GCCAGGGUCUUAGAGAAAACGAAAGACAAAGGAACCAUCUUCUUCCUUGAGGUCAACAAUGGAAGGAGACGUAGAAGACACCAAAACAAGAACUUGGCAGGCUCAGGACAUGACAACGGAGGUGUAAGUUUGUUCCCAACAUACCAGACAGAGAGCAACUCUCACCAGAGAAGAUCCCAAUGUGUUUUAUGCUAGAUCUGACUUUAAUUAAGUGUAGACAAUGCUCCCAUCAGUGCUGGAACUGGCCCCGGUAACUUGCUUUAGCUGAUGGAAUGUUACCAAACACAACAUGAUCAAAGGCUUGAGAGAUGAUUUCCCUCCUGUGCUUCCGCAAUUACCAUGAAAAGAACAUGGCCUGGUGGUCCCUGAUCCCCAAAGAAUGACGGACACCUGGAAAAAGCUUGGAGUAACAGAUUCAUGAGCAAGAAUAAAUAAUUAUUGUUUUAAU
RNAcentral lists this long non-coding RNA (448 nucleotides) under Homo sapiens (human). RNAcentral's name for it is "HSALNT0144576". The record is from RNAcentral. Lineage: Eukaryota; Metazoa; Chordata; Mammalia; Primates; Hominidae.